GACCAGUAGCUUUGGUUUGACCAGCUCUGAUUGAUAACUUGAUAAAUUGGAGGUGUUUUUGUAAUUGGAAGAUUGUGUUUGGGGAGUACCCAUUUCGGUUUUGUAAGUAAAGGUGUAAGCUUUAUUGUCUGUUUUUUGGAGAAGCAUAGGUGUUGCAGAGGUGUUUGCUUGUACUUGCUUUGAUUGCCACUUGUAUGGUGAUUGGUGAUGGUGUUCUCAGACCAGCUAUUUCUGGUAAUUUUUGGGUUAUGGAUGGUAAAGUUGGAAAAAGUUUCUAUUUAGGACUAACUGGGAUUUUGCUUUAAAUUGGUGCAAUGUUUUCUGCUGUUUCUGGACUUGAGUUUUCUAUGUCCGAAAAGUAUCAAAAAUGUGAGUUCUUAAAUUUUGCUCCUUUCUGGUAUUUAUUGGGCGUUUGUAUUCUGCUCAGUAGUUUGAAAUUUGGGUGAUUCCGUUUUUUAUUAAAUUAUUCUCAAUCUGAUCCUUUUCCUUUGAAUUGCUGGAUAUCAAUGUAUGAUAGUUUAUGUCAAUUUGUGUACUCAGAUUUGUAAGUCUUCAAUAUUUUUCUGCUUUAAGAAUCAAAGCCAUACAACAGGUGGACUGCUGACUUUUAUUGAUGUUGGGAAUAGCUUUGGUGCUCUAGCAAUUGUUGAAGAUAAUUUGUUACAUCAGUUCCAUAGCCUUGCCUUUCUAUCAUAAGCUGAAAUCAAUUAAGGUGUGCCCCUUCCUCUUCUUCUUCCUCCUCCUCGGGGAACUUGGACGGCGUUUACAUGACCGACACUUGUGUUCAGUGAGCGGUAAAGGAUCGGAAAGGGUUUACCCAACAACAACUUGACGAGGUCCGCAUUGAAGUAGCCGACUACUUACAAACUCUGCUGUAGGUUCUGACCAGUUUCUUGAUUUUGAGUUAGGCUAGCUUUUAAUUAAUUUUUUUGUAGCAAUUAUGAACAAACAAGAAUACUAAUUGCUAGGCUAGCCUUGUAGUAUAUAGGUGCAUGAAUUGGGGUUUUAUUUUGCCCAUUUUGUAAACUGUUAAGGAUGAUGAAUAUCAGAUAUAAUACCCCAAUUUGCAAUUUAUAAUCA
Long non-coding RNA from Rosa chinensis, 1080 nucleotides. RefSeq lists it as uncharacterized. The record is from RefSeq and is a predicted model, not a curated record. The transcript is spliced from 3 exons. Lineage: Eukaryota; Viridiplantae; Streptophyta; Magnoliopsida; Rosales; Rosaceae.